UACGUAGGUGGCAAGCGUUGUCCGGAUUUACUGGGCGUAAAGGGCGUGCAGGCGGUUUUUUAAGUCUAGGGUGAAAGCUCCCGGCUCAACUGUGGGAGGGCCUUGGAUACUGGAGAACUUGAGGGAUGCAGAGGAAAGUGGAAUUCCCGGUGUAGUGGUGAUAUGCGUAGAUAUCGGGAGGAACACCAGUGGCGAAGGCGGCUUUCUGGGCAUUUCCUGACGCUGAGACGCGAAAGCGUGGGGAGCGAACCGG
Molecule: ribosomal RNA, 253 nt
Filed under: uncultured bacterium
Lineage: Bacteria
Description: partial 16S ribosomal RNA
Rfam family: Bacterial small subunit ribosomal RNA
Source: RNAcentral